This 354-nucleotide ribosomal RNA is filed under the name uncultured bacterium. RNAcentral describes it as "bacterial SSU rRNA". It matches the Rfam family "Bacterial small subunit ribosomal RNA", at positions 22 to 356 of the family's 1533-position model. The record is from RNAcentral.
GCUCAGGAUGAACGCUGGCGGCGUGCUUAACACAUGCAAGUCGAACGAAGCACUUUACCUGAUUUCCUUCGGGGAUGAUUGUUCUGUGACUGAGUGGCGGACGGGUGAGUAACGCGUGGAUAACCUGCCUCACACAGGGGGAUAACAGUUGGAAACGGCUGCUAAUACCGCAUACGCGCACAGCACCGCAUGGUGCAGUGUGAAAAACUCCGGUGGUGUGAGAUGGAUCCGCGUCUGAUUAGCUUGUUGGCGGGGUAACGGCCCACCAAGGCGACGAUCAGUAGCCGGCCUGAGAGGGCGACCGGCCACAUUGGGACUGAGACACGGCCCAGACUCCUACGGGAGGCAGCAGUA